This 369-nucleotide ribosomal RNA is filed under the name uncultured soil bacterium. Its description in RNAcentral is "bacterial SSU rRNA". It matches the Rfam family "Bacterial small subunit ribosomal RNA", at positions 26 to 394 of the family's 1533-position model. The record is from RNAcentral.
AGGACGAACGCUGGCGGCGUGCUUAACACAUGCAAGUCGAGCGGUAAGGCCUUUCGGGGUACACGAGCGGCGAACGGGUGAGUAACACGUGGGUGAUCUGCCCUGCACUCUGGGAUAAGCCUGGGGAAACUGGGUCUAAUACCGGAUAUGACCUGCUCUCGCAUGGGGGUGGGUGGAAAGAUUUAUCGGUGCAGGAUGGGGCCCGCGGCCUAUCAGCUUGUUGGUGGGGUAAUGGCCUACCAAGGCGACGACGGGUAGCCGACCUGAGAGGGUGACCGGCCACACUGGGACUGAGACACGGCCCAGACUCCUACGGGAGGCAGCAGUGGGGAAUAUUGCACAAUGGGCGAAAAGCCUGACUGCACGCGA